CUGGACCUCCCUCACGUUGUGGGCCAGGCGGCUGGUGACCAUGAUAAUCUCCGUUUCGUCGCGGGUGACAUGUUUGAAUCCAUUCCACCCACGGAUGUUGUCUUGCUCAAGAACAUCAUGCAUGACUGGGGUCAUGAGGAUUGCGUCAAAAUACUUCAACGUUGCAAGGAGGCCAUCCCCGUCAAGAAAGCUGGAGGGAAGGUGAUGAUCAUAGAUAUGGUGAGAGGGUCUACAGAUGGCGAUAGAAAGAUCAGUGAGAUGGAAGCCUUACAGAACAUGUUCGCAGUGUGCAUCAAUGGGGCGGAACGGGACUUGAGUGAGUGGAAAAUGAUCUUUUCUAAUGCUGGAUUCGGUGACGACUACAAGAUCAUGCCGGUGCUGGGUCCCUACUCAGUCAUAGAGAUCUACCCACGAAAGCUUUGCAUGGCGAACUAUACCUUAUUAUAA
Molecule: ribosomal RNA, 447 nt
Filed under: Triticum aestivum (bread wheat)
Lineage: Eukaryota; Viridiplantae; Streptophyta; Magnoliopsida; Poales; Poaceae
Description: partial small subunit ribosomal RNA
Source: RNAcentral